CGGUAAUACCAGCUCUCCGAGUGGUGUGGAUGUUUAUUGGGCCUAAAGCAUCCGUAGCUGGCCAAGCUAGUCCCCUGUUAAACCCACCGAAUUAAUCGUUGGAUUGCGGGGGAUACUGCUCGGCUAGGGGACGAGAGAGGCCGACGGUAUUCUCGGGGUAGGGGUGAAAUCCUAUAAUCCCGGGAAGACCACCAGUGGCGAAGGCUGUCGG
This 211-nucleotide ribosomal RNA is filed under the name uncultured crenarchaeote. RNAcentral's name for it is "partial 16S ribosomal RNA". It matches the Rfam family "Archaeal small subunit ribosomal RNA", at positions 468 to 679 of the family's 1478-position model. Lineage: Archaea; Thermoproteati; Thermoproteota. The record is from RNAcentral.